AUGCACGCUGGCGGCGUGCCUCAUACAUGCAAGUCGCGCGAACAGACGAGGAGCUUGCUCCUCUGACGUUAGCGGCGGACGGGUGAGUAACACGUGGAUAACCUACCUAUAAGACUGGGAUAACUUCGGGAAACCGGAGCUAAUACCGGAUAAUAUAUUGAACCGCAUGGGUCCAUAGUGAAAGACGGUUUUGCUGUCACUUAUAGAUGGAUCCGCGCCGCAUUAGCUAGUUGGUAAGGUAACGGCUUACCAAGGCAACGAUGCGUAGCCGACCUGAGAGGGUGAUCGGCCACACUGGAACUGAGACACGGUCCAGACUCCUACGGGAGGCAGCAGUAGGGAAUCUUCCGCAAUGGGCGAAAGCCUGACGGAGCAACGCCGCGUGAGUGAUGAAGGUCUUCGGAUCGUAAAACUCUGUUAUUAGGGAAGAACAAAUGUGUAAGUAACUAUGCACGUCUUGACGGUACCUAAUCAGAAAGCCACGGCUAACUACGUG
This 496-nucleotide ribosomal RNA is filed under the name uncultured bacterium. RNAcentral's name for it is "partial 16S ribosomal RNA". It matches the Rfam family "Bacterial small subunit ribosomal RNA", at positions 29 to 507 of the family's 1533-position model. The record is from RNAcentral.